CAUUUAUUUUAAUAUUAAUACUAAAUAAAAAUAAUUAUAUUGAUAUUAAAUAAAAAUUAAAAACCCUCCCCUCACCCUCCCGCCAUUGUCCUCUCUAGAGGAUAAUUGUAUUAUUUCCAAGGCAGCAAAGUAGAACUUGAAGAAGACGGGAAUGCAUAUUCCUCCAUGGCGUAAAGUUGAGUAUGUCAGUGCCAAAAUGGCUCUCCUUAUAACCGAGCCACACAUUUACCUCCUUCACCUACUUUGACACCCGCACCUACAAGUGGAACAUUUAUAACACGUUUGAUCACUGUAAUGGAAUAGUCAUUCUAUAGGAAUGGAAUAGGGUUGUAAUGAAAUUGAAUAGGCAUAACACUGGUUUGGUCGGACGGAAUGAAAUGAGUAUUGUAAUAAUAUUCAUAUAUUUGGUUGAGAGGAAUAGAUAUAUAAUAGCAAAAAACAAAAAAGAAUACUCGAAUGACCUUUAAUAUUUUAAUUUAUUUUCACAUCAAUUUAAUAUUAAAGAAUAAUAUUUUGUAUCAAAAGAAUAAUAUUUAAAUAUAACAUAUUUAAAUAUUAUUUUAUAUUAAAUUAUAUUAAAAUAUUUUAUAUUAAAUUCUAAAAUUUGGAAAUAAUAUUAAAAGAUUUUUUAUUUUUAUAUUAAAAUAUUUAAAAUAAUUUAUAUUAUAUUAAAAUGUUUAAAAUAUUUUAUUUUUAUACUUUUUUGAAAUUUGGAAAUAAUAUUUUCUAUUGAAUUUUAUUCAAAGAUUUUUUUUAUUUUCCCCAUAUUCUUCAUAUUUGUUGGUCCCCUCUCUCUCCCCAAAUUCAUCUUCAUCUUCCUUUCCAACAUUGUUCUAGAAUCCAACAAAUCACCGUUGUUGUUGUUGCCUUGUGUAUCGUUAGCCACCAAGAUGAAUUUAUCCAAAUUUUACCAAGACCUUUUUUUAAUCUCCUUUUUCAUAUUUUCCAUUUUGGUUUUCAUAAAAAUCUUCCAAAAGCCUAGAUCUACAAAGCUUCUAUAUCAAAGUUUCUCUUUUUUUGGGGGAAUAAAAAACUCAAUUACACAUAUAAAAAAAGUGACAAUAUUAGUAUGACAUACUUCCAUGUCAAUAUAUCAUCCUACAAUCACAUACAAAAAGUUAUAUUACUCCACCACCACACCCAUUUACACAUACAAAAAAUGAACCUACAAUUACAUACAAAAAGUUAUAUUAGUUCACCACCACAUCUAUUUACGCAUACCAAAAGUGACAACCCUUUAUGGCAUACAAAAAUUUAUAUUCAUCCACCAUCACAACCACAUCAUUAAUGUGUAGAAAUAAAAUUUCUUACCCAUGCUAAUCACAUAGAAGGUGGUAGACUUAGGAAAAUGAGCAUUUACGUUGGAUGAUUAGGAAUUUUGAUCAAUGCCUCAAUUCACUCAUCAUCUGUUAAACCUUCUAUUUCACUUAAAGACAUAUAGAGAAUUUGUACCUUUUCUUGAAUGACCAUUUCUGACUUCUCUUGAAUGAGCUUUUUGGAGGCAAUGCUCCUACUUAAUUUAAGGCCAACUGUCCUUAUAUUAUCCCCCAAUAACAUGGAAACAUCGAUAAAUGAGGUAGAAAAAUUAGGUUCACUAGCCUUAGAACUCUAUUUCUUCUUAUUUGAAAAUGUAGAAUCAACUUUGUUUGGAUUAGAUGAUUGUGAUUGUGUAGCUGAGACAUCCAUCUCAUCUAAGGAAGCAUCAACUUCGCAUCCAUUGUCAUUGCUUCCUUCUUCAGGAUUCCUUUCAUUAGCAACAUCCUCAACAUGUAAAUAUUCAAAAAUAUAAGCAGUUGUUUGAGCAUCUUCCACUUUGGCUCGAUCUUUUACGUAUAUAGAAGUAAGUUACUCAUAAUAAGGGAAACUUCGAGUUUUGAAUUGUCCAGCUUCUUUAUGACUCUAUAAAAAAUAUUUCUUCAAUACUAUAUGGCUAUAAGUAAUUCAAAACAAGAAAAAUACAAAAAAAACCUUACGCCUAUAUAUGAGUCGCACACUGCAUCUUCAGCAGUAACCAUCUGCCUAUGCUCGUCCGAACCAAAGCCACUAUUUUCUUUUCCUCAGAGCAUGUCGUAAAUGAUUCCCCAAUCCUUUUUUAAUGUCCUAAUCCUUGAUUUAAGAUUAGGUUUAGCCUUUAGCAUUGUAUGAGGUAAAAAAUUUUCCAUCAUUCUUUCCGAUUCAAGUAAAUAACCAGCCUUGAAUCCCGUAUUUGCAUUAAAAGUUCCAACAUUGUGCAAGUCUAUCAUACAUGAAAUCAGUGCAACAUCUUCUUUCGAAAUCCAUUUCUUUUUGGUUCCUCUAAAAUUUUGGGAAGAAUUUGUAGUUGAUUGUAAAAGUUUGACAUACUUUUAAAGAAAACUUAACACAAUCAAUUAAUACAAGUCUAGUACAAUACAAAAUUUCCAUAAACACAACAUCAAAGAUAAAAAAAAUAACAUAAAGUCUUUCAAACAACCCUUUUAGCCCCAUUAGUUUCGAGAUGUUUGCCAUGCCUUGAGCAUUUGAUUUACUAGUUCCAUCUUCCAAUUUUCCCAUGCAUCAGUUGGAUAAAUAUUGAUUAUAUUAGGUUCAUCAUCCUCUACCACAUUACUAUUUAAACCUUCUCUCAGUGUCGCUUCAAUAGGAUCAAGACUCAUUUCAAUUCGAAUAAAAUUAUGAAGCAAGCAACAAGCAAUAAUUAUUAGAUUGUGCACAUUCACAAGAUAAAAUGAUAGACUCCUUAGUAUACCCCAUCAAUUUUUAAUAAACCAAAACGUCUUUCAAUAGCGUUACACGCUGAUGCAUGUUUCGUAUUGAAAAAUUCUUCUGAAGUACUUGGUUGGUAACCUUGGAGCCAUUCAUUCAAAUGAUAUCUUUGUCCCCUAAAAGGUGUAAGAAAUCCCUCGCAUUUUGUGUAACCAGCAUCAGCUAGAUAAAAACAAUCUAUAUUAAGAAAACACUAUUUAUUAAUCUAUUGUUUUCAAUAUUAGUCUAAUCUAAAAAAAUAAUUCAACUUCCUCCAUGUCUAUGCUUUACCAUGAGGAACAUUUUUUGUUCAUGUCUCCUAGUAAUGACAUCUCGAAGAACUCGUCCAUCAGCAACAAAACCUUCCCAACCAGGAAGAACGUAAACAAAUUGUUUAUCAUGUGUACAAACACCUAGCAUAUUUGUUGUUAUGUCACCUUUUUGAGUUCAAUAUCUAGAUUUUGUUGAAUCGCCGAUACACCCCAUGGUGCAGUGAAAUAAUUAUUUUGGCGAUCAUCAAUCAUGGAUCCAUGUAUGAGGAACGAAUGUAACACCCCAAACCCGGUCUAAAUGUUAUGACCGAAUCUGGCGAUGUCACAUUGUAACACCUCUUACCCGUAUUUGACGUAGGAAUAGGGUACGAGGCAUUACUAGAAGACAUACAUUUGCAUAUGUAUUAAACCGAGUUACAAAAUUUCAUCCGAAUUAAAACUUUUAAAUUAUUAACGUGCUUUUAUAAUUCUUUACAACAUAUCCUCGAAAUAUUAUAUUCAUAACAAAUAGGGCCUACGAGACCCGAUAUUUACUCAUGUAAUUCAAAGCUUCAUUUCCAUUUCAUUCAAUUCACAAUUUCUCAUGUUCACAAUUCAAAUAAAUUUCUCAAUUCAAUCAUCUAAGAAUAUAAUUCAAGUUACACGAACUUACCAGGCUAAAUUGUAGAAAUACCAAAAUUCAGGGACAUUUUGGUAAUUUUCUAUUUUCCUCGAAUUUUCACCCAAUCUUGAUAUAAAUUAAUAUUUCAUUCAAUUUAUUAAUUUAAAUAAUAAAACAAUUAAUUUCAUGCAAUUUGGUCACUUUUUGACAUUUUUACAAAUUUACCCUUAAAUAAUACUUUCAUUCAAUUUAGUCUCGGAACCUAAAACAUGCAAAUUAACCAUUUUUAAUGAAAACUCAUGCUAGUUGAAUAAUCAUAUAUUUUCCUCCUCCUCCUCUCCAUUCCACAUCCUUAAUGUAUAUAACAUGCUUAUAUGUAACAUUAUCUAUAAUUUCACUAUUUAUUUAUUUGUUCAUUCAAAGCUGUCCACUUGAGUCAUUGUCACAAAAUUAUUUAUAUCUUGAGCUAUAUAACUCUGAAUUGAGAUCCGUUAAUUUUCUUUGAAACUAGACUCACAUAUAUUCUUACUAUAAAAUUUUCAGAAUUUUUGGUUUAGCCAAUAAGUACAGUUUAUUCUUUAAAGUCAUCCCUGUUCUGUUAUCUGGCAGUUUUGACCCUUCUUCACUAAAAAUUAAUUAUCUACUCGUACAUGAUUCGGAUGAUGUUCUCAUUUGUUUAUCUUGAAAAUAGAAAUGUUCUCAUUUGUUUAUCUUGAAAAUAGAAAAUAGACUCAUUCAGGAUUUUAAAAAUAUAAAUAUAAGCCCAUAAUUAUUUUUAUCCAAUUUUUGAUAAUUUUCCAAAGUCAGAACAGGGGAACCCGAAUUCAUUCUGAUCUUAUCUCACAUAAUUUAUUAUAUUUCAUGAUUUACAAUUCCAUUACUUACACCAUUUCUUCUAUGAGAAACUAGACUUAAUAAGAUUUAAUUCCAUAUCUUUUUUCAUCCUCUAAUUCGAUUUCCAUAAUUUAUGUUGAUUUUUCGAAGUUAGCCUACUGUUGCUGUCCAAAACUGUUUUAAUGCAAAAUGUUGAUUACUAAGUUUAUAACUUCCUUAUUCAUUUUCUCUAUAAUAUUUUCCAUCACUUUCUCUUAUUUCCCUUCACUAAUAUAUCAAGAACAUAAAACUUUAUUUAAAAAAGCUCUACCAUAACAUCAUUUCCAUACUUUUUCAAUAAUAACAAACAUAAAAAUAUAUUGAAAUCUUGAUGUUCUUACCUUGUCCUAUUGAUUUCAAUCUUUAACUUGAUUUUCUCUCUCCUCCAACUUCUAUUUCUUGAAUCUAACUUGAUAUUCUAGCUCCCCAUUGUCUCCUUGUUAUCUUUCUCUCUUGAUGGAUAUGAAAAUUGUUUUGAUUUCUAAGUGAAAAUAUUGAAUUUUUUGUGAAAGAACCAAAUUGUAAAGAAAAGAAAGUUUCUUUCUUUCUUUUCUCUACAUACGUUGGAUGCAUGGGAAGAAGAUGAAGAUUCUUCAUCUUUUCUUCUAUAUAUAUACUAAAUAGAAUAAUAAUAAAAUAAUAAAAUAUCAUUUAAAAAUCAAAUUAAAAUAUUAAUAAACCAAUAUUUAUUUAAUUAAUUAAUCUAAAAUAUCACCAACAUCAUCAUUGCCUUCUAGAUUUCUCUCUCUUCUAAUUGACCAUUUUUCCCUUAAUAAUCUUUAAAAAUUCCAUCCUUGAGUCAUCACUUAAUUUGGUAAAAUUGUGAUUUAGUCCUUCAAAAUUCUUCACUUUUUCAAUUUGGUCCUAAUUCAUCCAUUUUCCUUAGUUUCUAGAUUAUUCUACCCUUAAUAUAUUAACACUAUUGGUCCUUUAACUUUUUCAUAUUUACACUUUAACCCCUCAAAUUUUGAGUAUUUACUCUUGGGCAACAAAACUUUUCUCACUUUUGCGAUUUAAUCCUUUCUUUAAUUAAUAUGUCAUAAUAUAAUUACCAAUGUUGCCAUAACUCAAAAUUUCCCUUUUUGUCACUUUAUUUCCUUAUUUUACUAUCAAGGAUACCUAUUUUCUUACUGUAGUAAUUUUUGGGGUAUUACAGUAGUAAUUUUUAGGAUAUUACAACGAAUCAAUUGAAAAAGAGUUGAAGGUAUACCUUUAGGAUCUGAUUUCUUUCACAAUGUCGGUUCCAAGCUUCAACAAAAAAAAUAUCAGCCUCUACGUAGUCCACCCAAUCAACAACGAACAACAGAACUCUUUGAACUUUUUAGAGAGAAUUUUCACAAAAAAACAGUUGUUAGACCCUUUCUGAUUUUCUUUUCUUUUCUUGGUAACCCUAAUACACUAAGGGAUUAUAUUCCUUUUAUUAAUUUGACCUAAUAAAAAUGGAAUAAUUCUCUUUUAUUUUGUAGAGAAACAUAUGGAAAACAUAUUAAAAAGAUUAUAUUCUUUCCAAAAGAAUAUCAACUUCCAUGUCUUUUUAUCUUUGACCGAAAUUAUUAUAACUAUUAUAUUAAUAAUUUCAGUAAACUAUAUUCAACUAAUAUUUUAUAUGAAUCAAAUUCAUAUAUUAAUUUUAACUAUGUUCUCUAUUUGUGUACAACAAGUUUGUACAUAUAAUGUGUUCAAAAUUUAGCUGUCAAAUUAAAUUAAUUCAACAAUUAGUUUAAUUCAUGUGAUAGCUAAACACAAUACCAACUGUAUUUGGAUUAUGUUUGCUUCAACCAUAGAGUGUAACCCUGUAGAAUCUUGUAAAGUUGAUAGUAAUACUAGAACAUUUCUAAUGUCACAAGCAAUGAGUGGCAUCUAGUAAUGUAUCAUUGCUACCCAAGUUACAAGAAGUCGUGAUUCGACACAACCUUUCUGUGAUAAAAUUUUCAUGUAUUAUAUUUUUUUAUCCUUUAUAUCUAGAUUGGACACAAGUCAUUGAAUAGUCACACUUGUAUAGUACAAUAUCAUAUUUCUUGAUACUCUGAGCAUACUACAAUAAAUAAAUAAGUGUAAUAUCUCAUAUCAACUUAUUUGAGCAUGACCAUGUAUUUCUAGUCUCACUCCAUCAAGUGGCCUAAGAUAUUGCUCCCAUUAUGUGAGAGAGACAAAUCCUGUCUUGAUCAAUCAUAUCCCACUACAUAGAUUGUGGCAUAUCCAACAUCAAUCUUUAUAGUACAACCUGUUGCCGUAGACGUUUGAUUGUAUCAAAAUAUAUGACUCACAAUGUUGGGACAAUGAUGAUCUCAAGUCUGAGGAUCAUAUACAUAGUUACCACUAUGAGUAAUGUUGUGACUAUUACAUAAUAAUCCAAGAAGCAUUCUUAUAACGGGUCAGUCUAGUAUGUUGUUCUCUAACACACACUCAUGUAUUGAUUUUGACAUCCCUUUGUCAAUGACAACACUUUAUCAUCAAUUAACUACACAUUAGUCUCAAUGUAUUAUUAUUGUUCAAACCCACAAUAAUACUUGACUACGGACCUUUUAAGAAUAAUCAUAUUAUUCUCAGCACUUAUAUUAUUAAUCAAUUUAUUUACACACAUAGAAAAAGAAUAUGAAAUAACAAUGGUAAUGCAUUAUACUAACAAACAAUAUAAAAUGAGUAUGUGAUUACAAUCAUCUCAUGAUUGGUCAGGCAUACUCUAACAAAUUUAUCAACUGAUGGAACCCUAAUAUUAAUAUAGGUUCCAUCUAAGGCGCCUAAGCAAUUCUAAAAGUAAAGUAAAAGGUCAAGUUAGGAUAAUCUAUUGAAAUCUAAAUCAAGUGAGUUAUUUCUAAAUAAUAUAUAUACCCACUCCAAUACUUUGAACUAUUUCCACCUUGUGUUUGUAGAAUUAGCUGGGACUAGCUUUAGCUUUUUAAAUAACACAUCUUGUAAGCGAAUCACACCAUUUAAUAAAUUGUGAAAUUAUCUACUAACUAUUUCCUCAGGCCUAUUAAAGUGAUGCUUGAUAAUUCGAUUUUUAAAAUGAUGAGCAAUAAUAUGUAAGAACAUUGCCACUUGCUUAUCUACAAGCAUGUUCCUUGAUAACUUCAAUCCUCCUAAAGUUUGUAACAUCUCAUAUAAUUUAAAAAAGGCAGAUCUAUUCGUCCUAACUUGUUCAAUACAAGUCUCAUCACUAGCAUGUGCAAGUUGCUUCACAUAAUCUCUUUGAGCAUAAAAAUCUAAAAUGUAUGAUCUAAUCUUUGGUCUAUAAGUUUGUAGGCUGGAGACGACACCCAACAUAACUAAGAACCAACCCGCAACUAUACACAUUAGCAACCAUACUAUUAAUGCAAGACCAAUUCUUUUUCGCCUCUCACUUUGUACUAUUAAAGGAAAAUGAGUCAUUGCUGCAAGAUAUUAAAGUGUUACAUAUCUUCAAAUCAUAGUAUAAAUUAAUCUCAAAACAAAAUGUAAUGCAUAAAUUUAAAUUAUGAAUAAAGAAUGAGAAUUAAGCAACAGACGAAUGUGAUGCAUAUAUUUGAUCAAUAACUUGAUAAGUAACUUGCAUAUAUCUUCAAAGCACACAAUGCAAAGCAAAAACUUUGCAUAUAAACUCAUGCACAGACUAACUAUUGAUAAUAUAAAAUUGAACCCAAAAUAGAAACUUGAAUUAGACAUAAAGUUAAGGGCACACUAUUAUUGGGGAUCAACCCGAUUAAGCAAUGAACAAGUAAAAAUAGCGAAAGAAAUUGAGAAAUUGAACACACAAAUUUAACAUGGAAAAACCUCUCCAAAGAGGAUAAAAAAUCACGGGCAAAGACAAUUUUACUAUAAUGACAAAAGAACGAAGAGUAUAAAAGAUAGAGAUAAAAACUAAACCCCGAAACCUAAAAACAAAGAACCCUCAAAAUGUAAACACAAAAUUCCCUAAAAGGGUUAUGAGUUCUAAUCUUUUAAUGGGUGUGUUUCUAAGGUUGUAAAAUAGUCUAUUUAUAGGCUAAAUUCGUAGGUUAAAUAAUAAUAAAAUAAUCUAAACUAAUCAAAGUUUGACUAAAACAAAUAAACAGAAUUUAACUAAAAAAUUAACUCUCAAAUUUAAUUGAAAUAUGAGGCAUACUAAACAACUAUUAAACCAAAACAAUCAUAAUUCACUCUAAGACCUACAACUAUUUAUGUUAUCUUGUAGCAUAUACGACUUGGCUUUAGUUUUCUUUUUCCUUAAUAAAUUUGAUACUUGAAAUUUGAAAACAUGGACAAGUUCCUUUUAUUAUAUCAAAUUGUUGGUAAUUAAUGAAGGGUUUUAAGAAGCAAAAUAAAAAACUAAUAAUAAAAAAAGAGUUUUUUUUUUUUUUCCUUUUCCUCGUAUGCGUAGUAGAAGAUGAUGAUAAUAAAAAUAAAUAUUAAUAAAUAAAAUAAAAACAGAAUCACCAAUAAGAUCAUCUAAAGCUGCAAACGAAAAAAAAACAAACGACAACAAACAAAGCAAGGAGACGGCCAGUUUCAGUUCCUUUCUAUUGCAGUUCUCGUUUUUGUCAUGUUGUUUAGGCUUCAAGUUUCAAAGUGAAAGCUUAUUUAGACAGCUAGAUUGAGAUUAUUGAGAAAUUACUGAAAAUAAAUCACCAGAAUAAAGCUUUAUUUGGAUUAUAAUCCAUUUAAAUAAAAGCAUCCGAUGUAAAUCCCAGAAAAAAAACUUGAUUCUAAGAAAACUAAACAACACAAAAUGACAUAAACCCAUAUUAGAAAAUAGGUCUAAAUUUAAAUGGCAUUCAUAGAAAAGAACAUGCAACGUAAGAAAUCAACAAAACAAUAAUCCAUAGCUAAUACAAGAAGAAUGUGAAAAUCCAAAACAAAAAUAAAAACCCAAGAGAAGAAACCCACGAAAAACAGAUAAUCUUUGACGCUGUUAGAUCCUUCAAACGGAUCUCAAGAUCUUCAAGAACAAUAACAAAAACAAAUUAAAAAAUUGUUUCCCAACAUAGGAAUAAGAUGGAGAGAGUUAAAAGUGGAGGAAAAUCGUCAAGAAACCUAGAUAGGAAAAUGAAAGGAACAACAGAGGAGAGAAAGAGUUUACCUGAAGGAAACUGCGAUGAAGAGGAGGAGUACUAGUGGCACUGGGACCGAGAGGGGAUGUCAGGUUGAGUGAGAGGAUUUCUGACGUGAGAAACUGGGGAGGGUGAAAUUGAAACCUCAGGCACGGUGGUGGGUGGAGGGAGGGGGAAUAGCGGUGGGGGAGGAGAGGGGAGGGUUAUUUUUAUUUAAGAUUAAUAUUAAUAUUAAUAUAAAGUUUAAAUUUUAUUUUUAUAUUUUUUGAAAAUAUUCAUGCAUUUUAUAUAUUUUUUUAUUUUUAAAAUUAGGAUAAAUUGAGACCAUUUAUAAAAUUUGAGGGUUAAUUUUUUAAAAUUAAGAUUAAAUCAAUAUAAUAUGUAAAAGUUGAUAGUUAAAUUUAUUAUUAUAUCAAUUUUUAACUACCACAUCACUCUUCUAUUAAUGUAAUUAAUAGAAAUAGAAAAAAAACUCAAUUAAUUAAAUGAAAAUUUUAAAAAAAUUAGUAGUUGAAUUACUAAAACUAUAUCUCUAAUCGG
RNAcentral lists this long non-coding RNA (10016 nucleotides) under Gossypium raimondii (Peruvian cotton). Its description in RNAcentral is "long non-coding RNA (GRAI_LNC002927)". The record is from RNAcentral. Lineage: Eukaryota; Viridiplantae; Streptophyta; Magnoliopsida; Malvales; Malvaceae.